AUCUUGCUGUAAUUGGGCAUAAUUAGAAGUUAAUCAGGAUUUAUUCUGCUUGUUAAUACUUUAGUUAAUUUGCUCACUGUUCGAGUUAGAUAAAUAGAUGGUGACGAGUUUAUUUUAUAGUGAGUGUCAGGGAUUUAUUUUAGCGAACCACUUGAAGUUGCUGAGAAACAGGUUACACCACUCGGCUCACCCCCUUUUACAGAUUAUGAGCUUCUGGUACAACUUCAAAUGAACAUGAGACGGCUGUUUUUAGAAUCAUGGAUUCAUAGACUCCCUACAGUAUGGGGACAGGCCAUUUGGCCCAACAAGUCCACCCGACCCACCGAAGGCUUCCCCACAAAGACCCCACCCCCUGUGUCCUGCCAACGGGAGAAAGGUCAGUUUUCCCUGUGUCUGUUUCACAGCGAGUAACUCAACCUGUCUGUGUCUGAUCUCCCUGGGAACUGGUGACAGAAAUCUGUUCAUCUCUUUAUUGGGUUUUUUACUGAGACUGGGACUGAGACUGGUUCGGCAACUUCAAGUUCAGCAAAUGAUCAAAUUACUUUGUCGACCGGGAAAUGGCAUCAUGGGUAGGAAAGAAUGUUUAUUUUGUUAAUUUUUCAGUUUGUGAACAGCAGAUAUUUUCCAAUCACUUUUUUUUCCCAGUCCCUGACUGGAAUAGGGAGAGUGGAUUCCCAGAAUGUUGCUGAUCUUUCUCUCCAUCUCGCUGUGUUUUUCCCGGGUCUCUCCCGAGACUAAUGCACUCACUCGGAUUUACACAAUUGUUGCUGGAUUGAAGGGUUUUCCUGAGGUUACAAACAGUGCAAUAGUCAAUGGAGUUAUAAUCGGUUCACGUGACAGUAAAACCCAACGGUACAUCCCCAGACAGCAGUUCAUGGCAGAAUUCUGCGAUAUUUCUGGAAUUAUAUCUCAGACCAGGUGAACAAACAUGGAAACAUGGCAAAGGAAACUAUGAGUACAAUAAUGAAGAGGACAAACCAGACGUCUGGUAAG
Non-coding RNA from Chiloscyllium plagiosum (whitespotted bambooshark), 993 nucleotides. The record is from RefSeq and is a predicted model, not a curated record. NCBI's taxonomy places the organism in Eukaryota, Metazoa, Chordata, Chondrichthyes, Orectolobiformes, Hemiscylliidae.